CGACCCUACUAAACCGGGGAUACUAACCACCCGAACCACCGUGAUCGUGUGCCCUUGUGGUGCACGGCGUGUGUGGGGAGCGUGGGACCUGAUCCGGGGAGGUAAACGUGUUAACA
Molecule: ribosomal RNA, 116 nt
Filed under: Kocuria varians
Lineage: Bacteria; Bacillati; Actinomycetota; Actinomycetes; Micrococcales; Micrococcaceae
Description: 23S ribosomal RNA
Source: RNAcentral